CAAUAGCGUAUAUUAAAGUUGUUGCAGUUAAAAAGCUCGUAAUUGGAUUUCUGGUGGGAGCGAUCGGUCUGGCGCUUAGCGCGAGUACUUGCAUCGUCUCCGGCCAUCCUUGGGGAGAGUCUGUCUGGCAUUAAGUUGUCGGGCAGAGGAUCCUCAUCGUUUACUGUGAAAAAAUUAGAGUGUUCAAAGCAGGCUUAUGCCGUUGAAUAUAUUAGCAUGGAAUAAUAAGAUAGGACUUUGGUACUAUUUUGUUGGUUUGCGCACCAAAGUAAUGAUUAAUAGGGACAGUUGGGGGUAUUCGUAUUCCGUUGUCAGAGGUGAAAUUCUUGGAUUUACGGAAGACGAACUACUGCGAAAGCAUUUACCAAGGAUGUUUUCAUUAA
RNAcentral lists this ribosomal RNA (383 nucleotides) under uncultured eukaryote. RNAcentral describes it as "partial 18S ribosomal RNA". It matches the Rfam family "Eukaryotic small subunit ribosomal RNA", at positions 592 to 976 of the family's 1831-position model. The record is from RNAcentral.